Molecule: ribosomal RNA, 234 nt
Filed under: uncultured Pseudomonas sp.
Lineage: Bacteria; Pseudomonadati; Pseudomonadota; Gammaproteobacteria; Pseudomonadales; Pseudomonadaceae
Description: partial 16S ribosomal RNA
Rfam family: Bacterial small subunit ribosomal RNA
Source: RNAcentral
GGAAUCUGCCUGGUAGUGGGGGACGAACGUUUCGAAAGGAACGCUAAUACCGCAUACGUCCUACGGGAGAAAGCAGGGGACCUUCGGGCCUUGCGCUAUCAGAUGAGCCUAGGUCGGAUUAGCUAGUUGGUGAGGUAAUGGCUCACCAAGGCGACGAUCCGUAACUGGUCUGAGAGGAUGAUCAGUCACACUGGAACUGAGACACGGUCCAGACUCCUACGGGAGGCAGCAGGC